This 347-nucleotide ribosomal RNA is filed under the name Pseudo-nitzschia galaxiae. Its description in RNAcentral is "LSU rRNA". It matches the Rfam family "Eukaryotic large subunit ribosomal RNA", at positions 185 to 544 of the family's 3401-position model. The record is from RNAcentral. Lineage: Eukaryota; Bacillariophyta; Bacillariophyceae; Bacillariales; Bacillariaceae.
GUUCCUUGGAAAAGGACAGCUGAGAGGGUGACACUCCCGUCCGCCUGGUAGAAUGAGUCUUUGUCAACGAGUCGAGUUGUUUGGGAUUGCAGCUCUAAUUUGGUGGUAAAUUCCAUCUAAAGCUAAAUAUUGGUGGGAGACCGAUAGCGUACAAGUACCGUGAGGGAAAGAUGCAAAGAACUUUGAAAAGAGAGUUAAAGAGUACCUGAAAUUGCUGAAACGGAAGCGAAGGAAACCAGUGUUUGUUGGUUCAUAUUUCCCUUGUCACUUGUGAUGUGGGCGCUGUGAGCUUGCGUGGGUUUGCUUUGGUUGAUUCCUUUGGAAGAGCGCAGUCAGAGUUGAUGUCU